AAACCAGCACCUCAAGUGGUCAGGAGGAUUAUUGGGCCUAAAGCAUCCGUAGCCUGUUCUAUAAGUUUUCGGUUAAAUCCAUUAGCUCAACUAAUGGGCUGCCGAAAAUACUGUAGAACUAGGGAGUGGGAGAGGUAGACGGUAUUCGGUAGGAAGGGGUAAAAUCCUUUGAUCUAUUGAGGACCACCUGUGGCGAAGGCGGUCUACCAGAACACGUUCGACGGUGAGGGAUGAAAGCUGGGGGAGCAAACCGGAUUAGAAACCCGUGUAGUCC
RNAcentral lists this ribosomal RNA (274 nucleotides) under uncultured bacterium. RNAcentral's name for it is "partial 16S ribosomal RNA". It matches the Rfam family "Archaeal small subunit ribosomal RNA", at positions 473 to 747 of the family's 1478-position model. The record is from RNAcentral.